RNAcentral lists this ribosomal RNA (390 nucleotides) under uncultured bacterium. RNAcentral's name for it is "bacterial SSU rRNA". It matches the Rfam family "Bacterial small subunit ribosomal RNA", at positions 144 to 518 of the family's 1533-position model. The record is from RNAcentral.
UAACAUCCGGAAACGGGUGCUAAUACCGCAUAGUUUUCUUGAUCGCAUGAUUGAGAAAGGAAAGACGGCCUUUGUGCUGUCGCUUAUGGAUGGACCCGCGGCGUAUUAGUUAGUUGGUGAGGUAACGGCUCACCAAGACGAUGAUACGUAGCCGACCUGAGAGGGUGAUCGGCCACAUUGGGACUGAGACACGGCCCAAACUCCUACGGGAGGCAGCAGUAGGGAAUCUUCCGCAAUGGACGAAAGUCUGACGGAGCAACGCCGCGUGAGUGAAGAAGGUUUUCGGAUCGUAAAACUCUGUUGUCAGAGAAGAACAAGUUGGAGAGUAACUGCCCCAGCCUUGACGGUAUCUGACCAGAAAGCCACGGCUAACUACGUGCCAGCCGCGGC